GACGAACGCUGGCGGCGUGCUUAACACAUGCAAGUCGAACGAAGUGGCGAACGGGUGAGUAAUACGUGGGUAACCUGCCCUCCUUUUUGGGAUAAGCCUUGGAAACGGGGUCUAAUACCCAAUAACGGGGGAUGGGCUCGCGGCCUAUCAGCUUGUUGGUGGGGAUAUGGCCUACCAAGGCGGUGACGGGUAGCCGGCCUGAGAGGGUGACCGGGCACGAUGGGCAUGAGGUACGGCAGAGACUGCGACGUGAGGCAGCGGUGGGGGAGAUUGAGCAGUGGGGGGAAGCCGGGUGAAGCGACGCCGCGUGGGGGAUGAAGGCUGUCGGGUUGUAAAGCUAUUGCGCGGUCGAACGGGUAGGUGGAGAAGAAGCGCAGGCUAACUACGUGCCAGCAGCCGCGGUAAUAC
This 408-nucleotide ribosomal RNA is filed under the name uncultured bacterium. RNAcentral's name for it is "partial 16S ribosomal RNA". It matches the Rfam family "Bacterial small subunit ribosomal RNA", at positions 28 to 526 of the family's 1533-position model. The record is from RNAcentral.